UUCAAAUGCGAAACGGACGGAAACCAGGCCUAAUGCCGAGUUCACACUGCACGAUUUUAGCCCGAUUUUUCACUCGCCGACAGGUUUUGAUAAAUCGCCGACAAAUGCCCGACAUCGGAGGCAAAUCGGAGCUCGUUCACGCGAGUGACAAUCGCGCAGUGUGAAUUACCAAAGACGCGAUCUGAGGGAAUCGCCGACAUGUCGCCGACGCCCGCGAAAUAUUUGGCAUGCUAAAUAUCUGGAGCUGUCGGCGAUUCACAAUCACGCUGUGUGCAAUGAUUUCUGACUGAAAACUACAUCGCGAUGACCUUCAGCCAAUGAGAGACAAAGAUACAGGGCAGAGGGAAGUUCAGUGAGUUAUAGACCAUAUCAGUAUUUUAAUAUGUACAAUUAUAUCAUACAGAAACAAGCACAAACGCUUGACCAGCCACAACAUCAGCAUAACAGUUACUGCAAAAUUAUUAUUUACCACUCUUUGCAGAACACAAUCCCUGUUCCCUGCAUCUCCCUCCUGCAUAAUCUGUUUUUGUUUUUGUAGCUGGAAAUCAGGGCACAGACAAUUUGCAGGCUAUAUUUUUUUUAAUACUUCCAGUCUCGCUCGAGAACUGACGCAUGCAGGUUCUGGCGUUAUUUCCUUAUCACUUCUCGCGUGUGUUUUGUUGUGAAACGUAGUUUGCGGAUCAGACAGAGUUGUCGGCGAUUCUUCCUAUUGUGAAAUCGUGCAAUGUGAAACCCCCUGUCGCCGAUCCAUCGUGCAAUGUGAACACAGCAGCGACUGAAUGCUACCCCAGAUAGUCACGCAGUGUGAAAACAACAGCGAUCCGACGAGUUUGAAAAUCGUGCAGUGUGAACUCGGCAUAAAGGGUAACGGCAAAGUGUUUUUUUUUUUAGAGAGAGUUCCCUUUAUAUGACGACAGUUGACAGAUCCUUUACUUAGCUACGAACACAACGCAUUCACCUCAGAGAAAAGAAGUACUGAUUUCAUUUCGCGUACAUUUCACUAUUCAUCUUCCGUUACAACUUAUGUGUUUUUCUGGACAAGUCCAAGUGAACUGCGAGUCUGCGACGAGUCACAUGAACGCGCGCCGUCCAGACCAAAGAACGGCCGAGGCCCAUCAGUGGGACAUUUCCUUGGUUUGCUCACAUCAGGUCAGAGGAUGGAAUCUCCUGGAUCAAGGUUAAUAAUAAAAGGC
Molecule: long non-coding RNA, 1193 nt
Organism: Onychostoma macrolepis
Lineage: Eukaryota; Metazoa; Chordata; Actinopteri; Cypriniformes; Cyprinidae
Exons: 4
Source: RefSeq, a predicted model, not a curated record